GUUAUGUCACAGUGGCAGUUGAAGGCAGUAACCCCGCCCUUGCCAGUUAGCAGCUAAUUUGAAUACACCGAAAAAGAGCUAUAACGGGCGAACGGCGCAGCGGAUCCGGGCAAGAUGCAGAGACCGCCACCAAUAUCAUAAUUCAUGGCGUAUAUGUUACCAAUCAUUGAACCCAUACACCCGCAGGCUGCCUUUGUUUUCCUGUGAGCAUAAAGCCAGAAAUCAGAGAGGAAAUCUCCUGUUAUUUAUUUGUUUAUUACUGCUCAAGAUGAAAUGCAAUACAGCUUGUUAAUGAAAUUCCUUUCAGGAUGCUGGAGUCUCUUAUCAAGAUUAAGCAUGAUACUAGACCAAUAAAAUAAUAUGACAGAUUUGCCACAUUGUUUUGAUCCAUUGACAGGCUUACUCUGCAUAGGACAAUAAACAAGUUAUAUGAUCAACAGAUACAGAACAUGACUUACUGGACUAAACCACGGAGUGGAGUUCAAAGAUUUAGGAGGUCUUCGCCCUAAACCCCAGCAAGGACAUGUAGACUUUUCCACAAGAAAACACCAGUUCGCUUUCCCUGACAGAUGAAUGCACAGAAGACGCAAUUUGUAGAGCCAAGGCAGAUGAUGGACAGGCAAAGGUCUCUGCUCUUUGGUCCCCUACAGCGAACUACAGUAUCUUGAAGGGCCCAUAAACCUCCAGGACAUUAUAAUUAUGCUGGCAGGAGCUGAGUUCAUCUGAGGUUGCUGGUCCUAUAGUACAUAGUCCUCGCUAGCUUAUCUGCAGUUAUGCUUGGCUCCUGAACUGGUCGCUUGACAUUUCAAAGAUUCUAUGCCACUUUAGGGGCAUCUUUAUCCAGCAGAAGGAACUGAGGUUGACUUUAUGACUUUAUUCACCGACAAUAUGUUGUUGUUUUUGUCUGACCUGGUAACAUAUUUGCCUAAAUUGUGGUUGGAUGUGACCAAGCUACCUUGCCAGAAUAAGGAGUUUUUCUAAAUUGUUGUAUCCCCUCCAAGCGAUUCCAGUGCUUCUCAAAAAUAAAGAUA
Hyla sarda is the source of this 1031-nucleotide long non-coding RNA. RefSeq lists it as uncharacterized. The transcript has 3 exons. The record is from RefSeq and is a predicted model, not a curated record. Lineage: Eukaryota; Metazoa; Chordata; Amphibia; Anura; Hylidae.